This 371-nucleotide ribosomal RNA is filed under the name uncultured bacterium. RNAcentral's name for it is "bacterial SSU rRNA". It matches the Rfam family "Bacterial small subunit ribosomal RNA", at positions 366 to 751 of the family's 1533-position model. The record is from RNAcentral.
GUGCCAUGGGCGCAGCUGAUGCAGCGACGCCGCGUGAGGGAUGACGGCCUUCGGGUUGUAAACCUCUUUCAGCAGGGACGAAGCUAACGUGACGGUACCUGCAGAAGAAGGACCGGCCAACUACAUGCCACCCGCCGCGGUAAUAGGUAGGGGGCGAGCGUUGUCCGGAUGUAUUGGGCGUAAACAGCUCGUAUGCGGUUUGUCACGUCUGAAGUGAAAACGCUCGGCUCAACCCCGGGCCUGCAGUCUAUACUGGCAGACUUCAGUUAAGGAGAGGAGAAUGGAAUUCGUGGUGUAGAAGUGAAAUGCGCAGAUGUCGGGAGGAACACCGGUGGCGAAGGCGGAUCUCUGGGCCUGAACUGACGCUGAGG